AUCAUGGCUCAGGACGAACGCUGGCGGCGUGCCUAAUACAUGCAAGUCGUACGCUUCUUUUUCCACCGGAGCUUGCUCCACCGGAAAAAGAAGAGUGGCGAACGGGUGAGUAACACGUGGGUAACCUGCCCAUCAGAAGGGGAUAACACUUGGAAACAGGUGCUAAUACCGUAUAACAAUCGAAACCGCAUGGUUUUGAUUUGAAAGGCGCUUUCGGGUGUCGCUGAUGGAUGGACCCGCGGUGCAUUAGCUAGUUGGUGAGGUAACGGCUCACCAAGGCCACGAUGCAUAGCCGACCUGAGAGGGUGAUCGGCCACAUUGGGACUGAGACACGGCCCAAACUCCUACGGGAGGCAGCAGUAGGGAAUCUUCGGCAAUGGACGAAAGUCUGACCGAGCAACGCCGCGUGAGUGAAGGAGGUUUUCGGAUCGUAAAACUCUGUUGUUAGAGAAGAACAAGGAUGAGAGUAACUGUUCAUCCCUUGACGGUAUCUAACCAGAAAGCCACGGCUAACUACGUGCCAGCAGCCGCGGUAAUACGUAGGUGGCAAGCGUUGUCCGGAUUUAUUGGGCGUAAAGCGAGCGCAGGCGGUUUCUUAAGUCUGAUGUGAAAGCCCCCGGCUCAACCGGGGAGGGUCAUUGGAAACUGGGAGACUUGAGUGCAGAAGAGGAGAGUGGAAUUCCAUGUGUAGUGGUGAAAUGCGUAGAUAUAUGGAGGAACCACCAUGGCGAACGCGGCUCUUUGGUCUGUAACUGACGCUGAGGCUCGAAAGCGUGGGGAGCAAACAGGAUUAGAUACCCUGGUAGUCCACGCCGUAAACGAUGAGUGCUAAGUGUUGGAGGGUUUCCGCCCUUCAGUGCUGCA
This 864-nucleotide ribosomal RNA is filed under the name uncultured organism. Its description in RNAcentral is "SSU rRNA". It matches the Rfam family "Bacterial small subunit ribosomal RNA", at positions 16 to 850 of the family's 1533-position model. The record is from RNAcentral.